RNAcentral lists this unclassified non-coding RNA (352 nucleotides) under uncultured Sebacinales. Its description in RNAcentral is "sequence contains ITS1". The stretch from base 1 to 105 matches the Rfam family "5.8S ribosomal RNA", at positions 50 to 154 of the family's 154-position model. Lineage: Eukaryota; Fungi; Basidiomycota; Agaricomycetes; Sebacinales. The record is from RNAcentral.
GAAAUGCGAUAAGUAAUGUGAAUUGCAGAAUUCAGUGAAUCAUCGAGUCUUUGAACGCACCUUGCACCCUUUGGUAUCCCGAAGGGUACACCCGUUUGAGUGUCAUUGUAAUCUCACUACAUCAUUUUGGUGAUUGUAUGUGGAUCUGGAUGCUGCCGUGUUGUGAACGGCUCGUCUGAAAUGCUUUAGUGUACCCUGCUUUGUGGUGUAUUCGGUGUAAUACAUCUUCACCGGAGUUUGAUCUUUCGAGAUCACAUCUUGCAUAUGUAUGGCUCUAUGCUUCCAACCGUCCUGACCAGACAAUAUCUGACAAUUUGACCUCAAAUCGGGUGGGACUACCCGCUGAACUUAA